This 209-nucleotide long non-coding RNA is filed under the name Elaeis guineensis (African oil palm). Its description in RNAcentral is "long non-coding RNA (EGUI_LNC071663)". The record is from RNAcentral. Lineage: Eukaryota; Viridiplantae; Streptophyta; Magnoliopsida; Arecales; Arecaceae.
AAUGCUUGCUCAGGCGAGCUUUAGAGAAAAAGGGAAGAGAUUGUUUGUUGAAUUAUGAACUACCAAAGCAAUAAACUAAUUAAUUAUAAAGGUAAAUUAUCUAAAAGAUCUAGGGCUCUUGAAUCCACUAGACCAAUGAAUUAGAGAGCCUUCCUAUGAUUUCUCUUAUAAUGUCCCUUGAUCAAGGUGUAAAAUAUGAACAAGCAUGG